Amphiprion ocellaris (clown anemonefish) is the source of this 1307-nucleotide long non-coding RNA. Lineage: Eukaryota; Metazoa; Chordata; Actinopteri; Pomacentridae. The record is from Ensembl.
GUUGGCUCAACACUCCAUCACUGUCAAGUACUUUAUUCACAAUAAGGUCAUUUUCUUCUUUAAAAAAUCAUUUUUAAUAUACAACACAAUUUUUGACAAGACAACUCCGUUUACAGCUAAAUUUGAGCUCUUGAAUUCCAGCUUCUCUCAUAACCAAAGCAAGCACGUAGAUGAUGUGGGAGAGAAAGAUGGCGUGAAAGGGACAGAUGAACAAGGGUUGAAGUUAGAAGAAAGAAUGAGGAAAAAGACAGCAAGAGAGAGAAAGAGAGAGAGAGAGAGGGGAAGAGAAAGAGGACUACGCUUAGUAUGAUUUUUGUACUAAGAACCAAAAUACUCAAAUAAAAUUAGAAAAUAACAGUAAUAAAAAACAGUAAGAAAGUAAGAGUUAAAGAGAAAAAAAAAAGCAGAGGUGUACCGGGAUGCUGUAUCCAUGGCAACCUCACAUGCAUGUCUGUCUGACACUUCUGCUCUGUUCUGCCGUUUCACAAGUCCACAUACACAAACACACACUCACGCAAACUUGAGUGUGUGCGCCCCCAUAUUACAAGCAAGUGUGCAUCUCUGGGGGGUGUUGGGGGGGGAGGGAGCAAAGGGGGGAGGAGGGGUGGAGAGGGGGAGAGAGACAGGGAGGAGUGAGAGGGAGUGAGAGGGAGCUUGGAAGUCAUCCCCAACACAUUCCUCCCUCAUUCACUCCCUCCGUCUCCCAUCCUUCUCUUCUUUCCUAGAGCUGAGUAAAGAGUCUCUGUCUCCCGCAUCACAGCUCCAGUCAUCCUCUGUCCAACUGUGCCACUGUGUGUUUAUGUGUGUUUGUUUGUGUGUUUGUGUGCGUCUGUGUAAUAUGUAUAUAAAUAUAUAUCUAUAAGCGAUUCCAUAUCUGUGGGAACCUGGUUUGGCAGGGGUUGAAAACUGAGGAGCAGAAGCUGCUUUAAGUUUGAUUCAAGGGGGACAAAGGGGAGCUUGUGACUUAAAUAGGGUCUAAGUUAAUACUGUCAUUAGUGUAGUUUACAAAACAUAAAUUAGUAGUAGAAGGUGAACUUCUUGGGAGAUUGCGUUGGUUCUGUAGUAGGGAGUCCUCAUCAGUGUUGACCUGUGUGUGUAUGUCACUGAACUGGCAGGAAAUGGGCACAAGCUUAAGAGUCUAUCAGAACGGGCAGGGAGGAGGGGGUGACGGGGGGCUGGGUUGGAGAUGGACAGAGAGAUGACGAGGAGGAAGGAGAAGAGAUGGGCUCCUUUCCAUGAUGGAUGCACCCAUCAGCCAAUCAGCAUUGGGUUCCUCCAAGAAAGGGUGCGGUAGAUGGCGCCACCUG